RNAcentral lists this ribosomal RNA (433 nucleotides) under uncultured bacterium. RNAcentral describes it as "partial 16S ribosomal RNA". It matches the Rfam family "Bacterial small subunit ribosomal RNA", at positions 29 to 507 of the family's 1533-position model. The record is from RNAcentral.
AACGAACGCUGGCGGCAUGCCUAACACAUGCAAGUCGAACGAGACCUCCGGGUCUAGUGGCGCACGGGGGCGUAACGCGUGGGAACCUGCCCUUAGGUACGGAAUAACUCCCCGAAGGGGGUGCUAAUACAGGAUAAUGUCUUCGGACAAAGGAUUUAUCGCCUUUGGAUGGGCCCGGGUUGGAUUAGCUGGUUGGUAGGGUAAAAGCCUACCAAGGCGACGAUCCAUAGCUGGUUUGAGAGGAUGCUCAGCCACACUGGGACUCAGACACGGCCCAGACUCCUACGGGAGGCAGCGGUGGGGAAUAUUGGACAAUGGGCGAAAGCCUGAUCCAGCAAUGCCGCGUGAGUGAUGAAGGCCUUAGGGUUGUAAAGCCCUUUUACCCGGGAUGAUAAUGACAGUACCGGGAGAAUAAGCUCCGGCUAACUCCGUG